AGAAUCAACGCUGGCGGCGUGCCUAACACAUGCAAGUCGCACGAGAAAGUGGAGCAAUCCACGAGUAAAGUGGCGCACGGGUGAGUAACACGUGAAUAAUCUACCUCCGAGUGGGGAAUAACUGAGAGAAAUCUUAGCUAAUACCGCAUAAUACCCACGGGUCAAAGCAGCAAUGCGCUUGGAGAGGAGUUCGCGGCCGAUUAGCUAGUUGGCGGGGUAAUGGCCACCAAGGCGAUGAUCGGUA
RNAcentral lists this ribosomal RNA (244 nucleotides) under uncultured bacterium. RNAcentral describes it as "partial small subunit ribosomal RNA". It matches the Rfam family "Bacterial small subunit ribosomal RNA", at positions 26 to 285 of the family's 1533-position model. The record is from RNAcentral.